AGGAAGAAGAAGAUUCCUUUCCACCUACUGUUCUUUCCGUGAGAAGCUGAGAGCCAUGCAGCAUCAAGGCCGAACAUCAUCCUGGUCAUGGUUGACGACCUUGGCAUUGGAGAUCCUGGGUGCUAUGGGAACAGGACUCUCAGGACUCCCAAUAUUGACUGGUUGGCCAGUGAGGGAGUGAAACUCACUCAGCACUUGGCAGCAUCACCGCUGUGCACACCAAGCAGGGCAGCCUUCAUGACUGGCCGGUAGCCUGUCUGAUCAGGUAACCUAACUGCAUUGCAGGGGCUGUGGUCUCCUUUGGGACAGCUUCUCACCUCCAGGUAUCUCCUGGUUCCUAAGGGUUUAUUUUUUCCUGGUUCAGGAAUGGCAUCUUGGUCCUGCACUGGAGGUUUCCUCCUCACAGCCUCUUCGGGAGGACUUCCCACCAAUGAGAUUACCUGAAGGUUGAAGGCUAUUCAACAGUGCUAAUAGAGAAAUGGCACAUUGGGAUAAGCUGUCACAGCAAGACUGACUUCUUGCUUUUCAUCAUAGCUUUGAUUAUUUCUAUGGGAUGACCUCCUUAACCCAUCUGAGAGACAGCAAGGCAAGGGAGGGCAGUGUCUUCACCAUGGGCUUCAAGAGACCGGUCUUCAUCCCCCUGCAGAUCAUCAGAGUGGCCCUCCUUACCCUCACUGCACUCAAUUGUCUGGGGCUGCUCCACCUGCCGCUGGCCACUUUUUUUGGCCUUCUCUUCCUAGCAGCUCUGAUCCUGAUCUUUUCCUGGGCUUCUGUGAUUACUUCCAGUCCCUGAACUUCUUCAUCAUGAGGAACUACCAGAUCAUUCAGCAGCCCAUGUCCUAUGGCAAUCUCACUCAGAGGCUAAUGGUGGAGGCAGCCCAGUUCAUAUAGUGGAACACUGAGACUCCUUUCCUGCUUGUCUUGUCCUACCUCCACGUGCACAUGGCCUUGUUCUCCAGCAAGGACUUUGCCGGCAAAAGUAAACACGGAGUCUGUGGGGAUGCUGUUGAGGAAAUGGACUGUAGUGUGGGUAUGUCUCUCCUCGGUGAAGAUCAUUGAUGGACAUGAUCUGAUGCCCCUACUUGAAGGAAAAUACCAGUACUCUGAUCAUGAGUUUCUCUUCCGUUACUGAAAUGCCCACUUAAACGCUG
RNAcentral lists this long non-coding RNA (1151 nucleotides) under Homo sapiens (human). RNAcentral's name for it is "non-protein coding lnc-NLGN4Y-2:1". The record is from RNAcentral. Lineage: Eukaryota; Metazoa; Chordata; Mammalia; Primates; Hominidae.